Long non-coding RNA from Serinus canaria (Common canary), 4038 nucleotides. RefSeq lists it as uncharacterized. Lineage: Eukaryota; Metazoa; Chordata; Aves; Passeriformes; Fringillidae. The record is from RefSeq and is a predicted model, not a curated record. The transcript is spliced from 2 exons.
UCCCGUUCCAUUUGUUCCCACAGGGAGCCCCCAGAGCGCAGUGCUGGGUCCCGCCAAGUGGAGCGCUCCGGUUCAGAGGCGGUGUGUGCUCAGUCCCGAGGGCCGAGCGGUGCCAGGCGCGGUGAGGGCAGGCAGAGACCCCCGAGGCACCCCCGGAAAGGCACCUUGGUGCUGGCACUGCCAGGGAAUGAUUCACUGCUUGUUUUCCACUGAUUUAUUGCUUGGGAAAGAACCGACCGCUCUGCUCAUCAUCUGCUCACCAUCCAAGGUGAGCUGCAAUGAAAAUAACUGGAAUUUCUCAUUUUAAUUGCAGAGAUGUGGUGGCCUCAGGCUUCCAUGUGGCGGUUUUGGUACCAUGGAUCGCAGGGGAUCUCAACAGCUGGUUGUGUCACUAGAUGGCCUUCCAGACCAAAUACAAACACCACUGCACUCGGGCAAGGAGGAUCCUGCUUUGUGCACAGGGCAAGCAAAAAGCUGGAAAAGGAUAUUUCUGCAAUAGAUAAGAAGAAGGACCUGUAAUACUUAACACAGUGUCAUAUAACUCAAAUUAUAACAAUAAAAAAGCGGUCAAAUUCACACCAAUUUAAAAUUCACCAUUUUCCUAUGGAAAAAGUUGAUGCAAGCACAUAGAAAUUGUCAAAAAAUGGUAUAUGAGCCACAGUCUUAUAAAUCUUAUCUGGAACACAGGAAAAUCAUCAGCUCCUUUCCAGUGUGAUGGCUGAGAGCAUUCCAAUGGCACAGGAAUGGAUGGGCCAGGAAAGAAUUUGUUUUAUCCUGACAUGAUUUAUUUGAACCUGGCUCAAACCCAGUAUCACACUAUGACACAAUCAGCAGCUAGAGUUAACAGUCAUCCUGUAACUGAAGAAUUCAGGGAGGUUUUUUCAAGUCAACUAUUUCCAUAAAAAGGGGAUUUUGGGGGGGAUAAAAGUAUUUUGUGGUUCAUAAUUAAUUUCUGAAGUUUUGCUUUUUCUUUUUUUUUCUUUUUUUUUUCCAAGUCUUACAGAACAGUCUUUACAUUUCUCACAGCUCUGUCUCCUUGUACAUUCUAUAUUUAAAGAAACUUUUAGAUUUGUACAUCUUUAGAUUUGGGAUGAAACAACAAAAAAUAAGCAGAUCACAAAUACAACUGUAAACACUGCAAAGACUGUUUUUAAGUAAUGGAUGUUCUACUUGUAAUGAGUCAUUUUAUUAUGGAUGAAAUACAACAUUUCAGUGUCUCAGGUACUUAAUUUUAAUUAGCAGCUAUGCAUUGUUUUAGGCAUAUCAUUUGGGUUGGGCAAAAGCUGAGCCUAUUUUGCUGACUCCAAACAAAGCAAAAUCUGAAAUGGAAUUGUGACAUUGAUUUAAAUGGAAGAAGAUUCAGCCCUCUAUUACUGAAAUUCAAAUAUGAUCAUUACUAAUUGCAAGUGUCCUUCUCUAGCUCAGUUUUGGCCUGUAUAUUGAUUUUGGCACAAGUUUUUUCAUCAAAAGCUUACACAUCUGCAGCUCAGGGGUCAAUGUGUGUGUGGAGUUUCUCAGUGAGCACAACCAAGCCAGGGUAUUAGUGGGGUCUGGAGAAUAUCUGUGCUUCAAUCCUGGUGCCAAUUUGUUGCUUCAUGAUCACCAAGGAAAAAGUUAGGAAGGAGUGAAAGGUUAGAACACUGCUUAGGAAAACUGCUGGGACUUUGUGAUUUUAAAUUAUGCUUUAACACUCUGGAUGGUAUUGAUGAGUAAUUCAGGUUAGUUAUGAAAACACCCAAAAAAAGACUCACAGAUUAGGUUCAAUAUUGUUUGCACACACCAUCUGCUGCAUACUUCUAUUGUUAGUUUAUUUGGUAACACAAACUGGACAAGAAUGGGGACAUGUUCUUCCUUAUUGUCAUGAGAACUAUAUUUUUGAAAUACACUUCAUUUUUUCUUCCCGGUUUACAAAGACCUAACAUAACAACAAACCCCAUUUAUGUUCAGGGGAAUAUUCAUAAACUUAGUUAAGAAAGUGCAUAACAAGACAGAGCCUUAAAUAUUUAUUUUUUAACAUUACCAGUGACAUUAAUUAUUUGUGGUUUUAGCUAUGAAGUCCCACUCCAGCAUGUACUGAGCAAGAGCAAUGCCUUGAAAAAUUCACAAUCAGAAAGACAGACCCUAGGGAAUGGGAUUUACCAAGUCAAGUGAAUCUCUGAUAAAUUUCAGAUGUUGCACAAGGUCAACAAUUGCUUGUCAUGGGCACACAGACUCUUACUGAGGGAGUCUCUGCCCCAUGGAGUUUAUUAGGGACAGGGCACAGAAGGAAGGGGAAUUUUGAUGUGGGAGAGCUGAACUAUCCCUGCACACAGCACAAAGCUCUGGUGACAGAAUCAGUGUGAGAGGAGAUCCUAUGACAGAGCAGGUGUACACUACUCAAGGUGAUUCCUCUUGUUUACAGAACAAAUGAACAAAAUUGUUUUUCAGUUGUGCUUUUGCUCACAGUGCCAACACUGCUCUGACCCUCACUAAACCCUCCACACAAUUCCCAAAAUCAAAGCUCCCCAGUGCCUUAACUUUCAGCUGCUUCUCCAUUUCUUCAGUCUCCAUUUCUGCAGUGUUUCUUGCUGUUCCUCUCGCACAUGCAGAGCUCAACCAUCUGCUCCUCAUGGCCUGAUAUUUUACACACAUGCCCCCACCCUGAAAAAUCCCUUGGGUCACAUGAUUCACCAUCUAUUCAAACCUUGCCAUGUGCCUGGUUUUUUGUGUAGUUGCUCCUUCUGAUGUAAAUCCCUUGUUCCAUAAGGGCUCUCAAUUGCCUUUUUCACUGAAGGCAAGGUGGCUGUGACACCUGCCAAUCUCUGAGACGUUUAACCCAACCUAAAAUAUUAUUACAUCGUUGUUUGGCUGAGUAGGAACCAUAUUUUUUUCCCAGUGGGAAGUGCUGCCAGAAAGGCAUUAACUUUCCAGACUAUUAAGUAGUAUGGAAAAAUUAUAUUUCAAUAAGAAAAUUUCCUUUCUGCCUUUUCAUGCCUUAGAAAUAAUUCCUGUUUCACUUGGCUCAAGUAGCCCCUGCACUAAAUCAGUGCAGAAAUCUUUGGGUAAACUCUAAGUAAAAUCUGUCCAAGUGCUACCAGGGAGUUCAGAGGGUUGGGAAAGAAAACAGGACAAGGGUCUGCAAGGGGAGGUAUGAGACAAAUUAAGACACACAAUUCAGCAAAAUCAGGCAGAGAAUAUUCAGGCAAUCUAAUGUAGUUUGGACAAACUUUAUUAAUAAACCAACACUCAUGACUACCUGGUGAACAGUUAUUUAUAGGGAACACAAACUGUAUCUUGGCUAUUUUCUCUGGUAUUCUUUAAAUCGGGGGUGCCAACUGUGUGGGCCAAAUAUGGCCUACCUGAUACAUACAUGGCCAAUGUGCUGUGUUUUGAAUUUCAUCUUUCAUUAGAAAUUGAGUUCUUCACUUUGCAGCUGUGGGGGAAAACCACCCCAAUUUACAAACCUGGAGUAAAUUAACGUGGUGACAUCUCAUCCUGAUACAGUAGGUGCUUAUAGGCAGUUUCAAGUUUCUGUUCCUCACUAAAGCUGAACUCUCAAGCCAAAUUCUGUUGUGAAAAAUGGGUAACACAAGGUUAGGAUCAUCCUAUGCUUUUCUGGAACAUCGAACACAAUGAGUGACCUCUAGAAAACAUGAAAUGAACAGGUGAGUGUCUGCCAACACCUCCACAGCUCUGCCCCCACGGAUCUGGGGAUGUGAAUCCCAGAUGUGCUGGCAUGGCUUCCCUGAGCCACGGGCAGGAAUUUGUCACCACAGGCUGGCAGAGCUUUCACAGCAAUGCUGGAUCUCAUCCCCUGCCUCUGUGCUGGGAAGGCAAUCUGGGGGUUUGGUGUAGAGAGGGAGAUCCAGAACACAUCAUUUCAGGUGACACCUGCAGUUGUGUUUGCCUUGGGAGCUGGGCUUGGUUUUGUCAUGGGAACAGGCAGAAGCAGCAGGUUCAGGAGUGAGGCACAGCCUUGCUCGUGGCUGACAGAGAUCAGGGUUCUGCUACAGUUCUCUGUGAAAUUAGUCACCAUCAGAUGAUCUUCUGCAUCCAGAU